Molecule: ribosomal RNA, 483 nt
Filed under: uncultured bacterium
Lineage: Bacteria
Description: partial 16S ribosomal RNA
Rfam family: Bacterial small subunit ribosomal RNA
Source: RNAcentral
ACUCAAAUGAAUUGACGGGGGCCCGCACAAGCAGCGGAGCGUGUGGUUUAAUUCGAGGCUACACGAAGAACCUUACCUGGGUUUGACAUACUGGUAGUAGGGAACCGAAAGGGGACCGACCGCAAGGAGCCAGUACAGGUGCUGCAUGGCUGUCGUCAGCUCGUGCCGUGAGGUGUUCGGUUAAGUCCGCAAACGAGCGCAACCCUCGGCGUUAGUUACAAGUGUCUAACGCGACUGCCCGUGAGAAACGGGAGGAAGGUGGGGAUGACGUCAAGUCAGCAUGGCCUUUAUAUCCAGGGCUACACACACGCUACAAUGGGGGGUACAACGGGUUGCGAAGUUGUGAGACGGAGCCAAUCCAGAAAGCCUCUCGUAGUUCGGAUUGCAGGCUGCAACUCGCCUGCAUGAAGUCGGAGUUGCUAGUAACCGCGCGUCAGCUAUAGCGCGGUGAAUACGUUCCCGGGCCUUGUACACACCGCCCGU